UGUGCCUACGGGAGGCAGCAGUGAGGAAUAUUGGUCAAUGGGCGCAAGCCUGAACCAGCCAAGUCGCGUGAGGGAAGACGGCCCUACGGGUUGUAAACCUCUUUUGCCGGGGAGCAAGCCUGAGCACGUGUGCCCAGGCGGAGAGUACCCGGAGAAAAAGCCACGGCUAACUACGUGCCAGCAGCCGCGGUAAUACGUAGGUGGCAAGCGUUAUCCGGAUUUAUUGGGCGUAAAGGGAACGCAGGCGGUCUUUUAAGUCUGAUGUGAAAGCCUUCGGCUUAACCGGAGUAGUGCAUUGGAAACUG
This 305-nucleotide ribosomal RNA is filed under the name uncultured bacterium. Its description in RNAcentral is "bacterial SSU rRNA". It matches the Rfam family "Bacterial small subunit ribosomal RNA", at positions 334 to 635 of the family's 1533-position model. The record is from RNAcentral.